RNAcentral lists this ribosomal RNA (422 nucleotides) under uncultured bacterium. RNAcentral's name for it is "bacterial SSU rRNA". It matches the Rfam family "Bacterial small subunit ribosomal RNA", at positions 355 to 774 of the family's 1533-position model. The record is from RNAcentral.
UGAGGAAUAUUGGGCAAUGCCCGCAAGGGUGACCCAGCAACGCCGCGUGGAGGAUGAAUGUCGUAAGAUUGUAAACUCCUGUUAGAGGGGAAGAAUAGUACCGGUUGGACCGGUAUAUGACUGUACCCUCAGAGAAAGCCCCGGCUAACUACGUGCCAGCAGCCGCGGUAAUACGUAGGGGGCAAGCGUUGUCCGGAUUUACUGGGUGUAAAGGGCGCGCAGGCGGGAUAAAAAGUCAGUGGUGAAAUCCCCGAGCUUAACUUGGGAACUGCCAUUGAUACUAUAUAUCUUGAAUACCGUAGAGGUAAGCGGAGUAUGUCAUGUAGCGGUGAAAUGCUUAGAUAUGACAUGGAACACCAAUUGCGAAGGCAGCUUACUAUGCGGUGAUUGACACUGAGGCACGAAAGCGUGGGUAGCAAACA